CCUACGGGUGGCAGCAGUGAGGAAUAUUGGUCAAUGGACGAGAGUCUGAACCAGCCAAGUAGCGUGAAGGAUGACUGCCCUAUGGGUUGUAAACUUCUUUUAUAUGGGAGUAAAAUGUUCCACGUGUGGGAUUUUGUAGGUACCAUAUGAAUAAGGAUCGGCUAACUCCGUGCCAGCAGCCGCGGUAAUACGGAGGAUUCGAGCGUUAUCCGGAUUUAUUGGGUUUAAAGGGAGCGUAGGUGGGAUGUUAAGUCAGUUGUGAAAGUUUGGGGCGCAAACCUAAUAUUGCAGUUGAAACUGGCAGUCUUGAGUACAGUAGAGGUGUGCGGAAUUCGUGGUGUAGCGGUGAAAUGCUUAGAUAUCACGAAGAACUCCGAUUGCGAAGGCAGCUUACUGGACUGCAACUGACACUGAGGCUCGAAAGUGUGGGUAUCAAACAGGAUUAGAUACCCGGGUAGUC
This 460-nucleotide ribosomal RNA is filed under the name uncultured bacterium. Its description in RNAcentral is "partial 16S ribosomal RNA". It matches the Rfam family "Bacterial small subunit ribosomal RNA", at positions 338 to 795 of the family's 1533-position model. The record is from RNAcentral.